Molecule: long non-coding RNA, 907 nt
Organism: Bos taurus (domestic cattle)
Lineage: Eukaryota; Metazoa; Chordata; Mammalia; Artiodactyla; Bovidae
Source: Ensembl
GGUACACAGUGGGAAGGAGAUAAAUGGAGUUUCGUGUCAUUUAUUUCAGGUGCCAGGGAGAUGCAAACAUCAUUAGAGACAAAUUCUGGUCUGAGAAUCAACCUCCUUAUUCUCUGAUUGGGAAAACGGAGCCUCUCUGAGGUUUAAUUGAACUGAUGAAAGCUGGAGCUGCACCCAGACCUUCUGGCUCCUUGUCUGGGUCCAUCCUUGAGGAGCACUACCCUGGCACUCCUAUGUCUCCACCUUCUUUGAUGACUUCUCUUCCUCAUCAGGAAUGGGCAUUCCCCAAUAUUCCAUCUUUGACGCUCCUUCAUCCUCUAUAAAAUCCAAGCCUAUCCUUUCUUAUAACUUUAGCUACCACCACUUCUAAGCCCAAAUCUUUAUUACCAGUUCUUCCAAGUCCCAAACUCAUUUUGUUUAACCUCAUGCUGAACGUUUCCAACUGUGUGUAUCACCGUUUCUUCAAACACAACGUGACUAAAGCAGAAUUCAUAUCAUAAGUAAGAGCCCUCCCCAUGAACUCUCCUUUUCCACACCAGCUGUCUUCUUUUUCCUCCCAGUGUCUACAUCUCUGUUAUUGGUACCACCAUCCUUGAAAGAACAAUUUCUAGAAUCAAGCCCUUAUUCCUCCAGUGACAUGGACAAGGGAACCAGCAGAAAUAAUAAAUACCACUCAGUCAAGAUAUCAAUACACUCUGCUUCUCCCUGUUGUACUGCCCUGCCCUUACUGUCUGUAAGAAAUAAAAAGUACGGGGAGGGAUAAAUUAGGGAUUUAGGACUAACAGAUACACACUAAUAUAUAAAAAAUAGAUAACCAACAAGGACCUAGUAUAUACACAGGGAACUAUACUCAAUAUUCUGUAAUAACCUAUAAAAGAAAAGAAUCUGAAAACAAAUAGAUAUAUGU